Long non-coding RNA from Triticum aestivum (bread wheat), 1681 nucleotides. RefSeq lists it as uncharacterized. The record is from RefSeq and is a predicted model, not a curated record. The transcript is spliced from 2 exons. Lineage: Eukaryota; Viridiplantae; Streptophyta; Magnoliopsida; Poales; Poaceae.
AUAUAGGAGCGAUCCGGUCGUUCCCGAACUCUUGAACCCACAGAAAAAAAAGAAGAAAUCACACCCAUGACCGCCCAUUGUCGACCCGCCUCGAUCCCCAAUUCUGGCGCCAAUCUCCCGCUCCAACGGAGCCACCGAGCUACCACCGGCAAGCUUCUUCGGCCACCGCGGCCAUCCGCCAGCUUCCCCGGCCGCCGCGGCCACCCGACAGCUUCUCCGGCCGCGGCCAUCCGCCACCACCGACAGCACAGCCGUCAGGACGCCGUUGUGGCCCAUCUCCAGCCUACUCCCUGCCCACGGCUUCUUCCCACGCCAUCGCCUCCAACAGCCGACGCGGCCGCCGUGACGCCCGCAUCCCCACCCUCGCACGCUACAUCAUCCACAUCCGCCUGAAAUCGCUGUCAGACCCCACACGUCGCCCCUGCCCAUGUACUGCAUCGAUACACCAAUGGUGGCCUCGGAUCUGAGCGCUAGCCGCUGGAUCCGCGGAUGUUCACGCGUGGGAGGUGUUGCUGCUCCGGCGAGCUCCUUCGUGCACGGAUCCGUGCACCCCUGAGCAUUGCCAUCCGGCUACCAUCACCGUCAAGCCAUUGCGCCUCCACCAUGCCUCGCUACGGCGGCGCUAGGAUCCCACCGUCGUGCCACCGGAUCCUCCGCCUUCAAGCCCCUGUACCUCCAGUGAGCGAUGUGCACGUACGGCCCUGAUCCAGUGCAUGCAGCUUCGAUCUAGGAUGUCCCAGCCACCGCCGUAUGAUGCUGCUCCGGCCGCUUCUUCGGCAGUCCGAGUGCCCCACCCAUGUCCGUCCGAGUUCCUUUGUCCGUGCUCCUUUGUGUCAAAGCUUCUGCCAGUAGAAGUGCAGAAAUCUGAAGAUCAUUUGGUGUGUCUUCAGCAAACGUUCCGUCGAGCCACUGCUGCAAAGAAAUUGGUGUUUUGGUCCGUUGAUUUCAGUUUAACAGGAGCUUCAGUAAUGGAAAACUUGAGUUUUCUUAGAAGUUUAUCUCCAAAAUGCAUGACAGCCGACGGUCCAUUUAAUCAGAGAUGAAAUACUUUUAGAAGCAUACAAAUAAGGCCCUCUCCCCAGGUGGUUUUUGCCAGGCGAUGUACUCAUGUCUAGUGCCGUCAGUGUUCACUCAGGGGCGUAUUCCAUUUCUUCAGUUCUGUAUAUAUAGUCGUAGAACUAUGUAACUUGGUCUAAGUACGUAGGUACAGAAGGAGAGGAGGGCCUUCUACUCAGACCGGCCGGCCACUUCUUCAGACUGAUGUUCACAUCUACUCCAGCUAGCACCACUCCUGAAGUGCCCCAAUCAUUGCUGUGCCAAAGAAUAGCCGAUUGUUCGCCCAUAUUUUGUUUCUCUUCUGUAUACACUGCAUGUGAUCUCUGCAUGUUUCUAUGAUUAUAAAGUGUUGUCGUUUGUUGCUGCUGAAUGGUGAGGUGAGCAAGGGGAGAAGAUUAGCUGCCAUUGCUAUUAUUUCUUCUUUUUAUCUCCGGAGUUACGUGAAUCAAGUUACAGGAAAUAGAAGAAAAAAACUUUAGAAAGAAAAUGAUGCUUAUUGAGCUACUAAGGAUGUGUAGCAUUUGGGGCACGUGGGUGUUGUUUGUAUAUGUACCUGUCAACAUGUUCUUGACAGAAGUUCUUGUGCGUAUAUUUGAGCAAUUCAAAUGAUAGAAAAACAUCUUCA